This 252-nucleotide ribosomal RNA is filed under the name uncultured bacterium. RNAcentral describes it as "partial 16S ribosomal RNA". It matches the Rfam family "Bacterial small subunit ribosomal RNA", at positions 15 to 263 of the family's 1533-position model. The record is from RNAcentral.
GAUCCUGGCUCAGGAUGAACGCUAGCUACAGGCUUAACACAUGCAAGUCGAGGGGCAGCAUGACCUAGCAAUAGGUUGAUGGCGACCGGCGCACGGGUGAGUAACACGUAUCCAACCUACCGGUCAUUCCGGGAUAGCCUUUCGAAAGAAAGAUUAAUACCGGAUAGUAUAAUGAGAAGGCAUCUUCUUGUUAUUAAAGAAUUUCGAUAACCGAUGGGGAUGCGUUCCAUUAGUUUGUUGGCGGGGUAACGG